Molecule: unclassified non-coding RNA, 484 nt
Filed under: Hevea brasiliensis (rubber tree)
Lineage: Eukaryota; Viridiplantae; Streptophyta; Magnoliopsida; Malpighiales; Euphorbiaceae
Source: RNAcentral
CAAUGAAGAGCAGUCCAUCCAUUAAUGUCACGGAAAUCUAUGCUGACUCUAUGACUGAGAAUUGCGCUCAAGGCCCACUCAUAGCCCAACCCAGCAACCAUGUGUAUGAUCCCCUGCUCUUUCUUGGACAAGUUGCAGUUAGGUUGAUCUUGUCUUUCCUGAGACUUGGAAGAAAGCCACUGCUGCAAUUUGUCUUUUAGAAGUUGUUGAAGAAGCCAAUCAACAGUGCCAGUUGAAGUUCCAUUACCAACUAAGAGAGCCCCAAUAAUACUUCCCCAUGAAUCAUCAUCAGUUUUUAAUUUUCUCAGCAGCUGAAUUCCAGUUUCUAUGCUGUCUUCUUUCUGCAAAGAGGAAUCAGACAGAAGCAUCUGCACAAAUCUGACAAGUAACAACAACUCUUCUGGACUCUCAGCAACUUCCAUUUGGGAUGAGUUGCAAUGAGGAAAACUACUCUUAGCUCGAUACUCAAAUUCUCUGAUCUCAC